Molecule: non-coding RNA, 72 nt
Organism: Gaeumannomyces tritici R3-111a-1
Lineage: Eukaryota; Fungi; Ascomycota; Sordariomycetes; Magnaporthales; Magnaporthaceae
Source: the annotation of a RefSeq genome assembly
GGUUGUACGGCGCAAUGGUAGCGCGCUUGCUUUCGUAACGGGAAAUCCUAAGUUUAACUCCCGGUGCAACCA